UGAGGAAUAUUGGUCAAUGGGCGAGAGCCUGAACCAGCCAAGUCGCGUGAGGGAAGACGGUCCUACGGAUUGUAAACCUCUUUUGUCGGGGAGCAAUAAAGCGUACGCGUACGCCGAUGCGAGUACCCGAAGAAAAAGCAUCGGCUAACUCCGUGCC
This 157-nucleotide ribosomal RNA is filed under the name uncultured bacterium. RNAcentral's name for it is "partial 16S ribosomal RNA". It matches the Rfam family "Bacterial small subunit ribosomal RNA", at positions 355 to 509 of the family's 1533-position model. The record is from RNAcentral.